AAGACCUUUAAUGGUCUCCUAUGUAUGGUUCUUUUGUUCAUUUGUCCUGUUAGAAUUGAAUAAACGGUAAUAAGUUAUCUGACAUAAUAAGGAACGCCACAGGUACAAGAGAUAAACCUGGCAGGUGGCCCAGGAAUAAGGGUGUCACCAAAGUAUCGCUUAACAGAAGGGCCACAGACCUGGAGACCAGUUUCAGCCACCUGUCACUCCCCGCACCCAGGAUCCACACCCAGUGCCAGGCUAAGCGCCAGCUCCCACUGAAAAGGCAGAGGCAGCCACCUGCCGCAGCAUCAGACGUGAACACUGAGCAGAGAUGCCCCAGGAAGUGCAUCCUUCACUCACCCCCCGAGUGCCCUGUGGCUCUGCAGUGCAGGCCAUGACCGCACCCAGAGCCUGUGAGCCCCACUUCCCAUCUACCUCUCCUAUGACCCUUGUCGUAAUUCCUGUCGGAUGGGCAGAGCCUGGCACUACCCCCAUCUUGCACAAGGGGAAACAGGUCCGAUUCCCCGGGGUGCACUGGGACUGAACAUAAGACAGCACCGGGACGCCUCCUCCCAAGCCACGUGGGCUGCUGUGCCCUGAGUCUAGCAUUUUCACCUGGAAUGCCCUGGGUGGGGGCUGAGCAGGAUUCUGUGCCAAGGGCUGGUCCAGGUCUCCCCAAAGGGCCCACCUCUCAGUCCUGGUGAGGGACCUGGCCCGAGGGCCAGCCAGGAGGAAGAGCAGUCAGAGGACUAGACAGACACUAGCCUCUCCUUGGGGACCUGCCUGUUGCCCACACACUCGGUUGAUCAGGAAUGUAGAAACGGAACCCUAUUAGAAUUGCUGGACAGAAAGGUGCUGCUUAUGGGGUCUCUGGAGGAAUCCUGCCGUCCUAAGAGGGACUUUUGUUGUAAAGUCCUCCCUCGGCAUUUCUUUUAUGAAACCUGGACUUUCCCCCAGCUGCAUGGACCUCGAGAGGAACCUAACUCUAGUUUCUCUUCCCAUCACACGGCUCCUGUCAUCUCAUAGGCCUGGGCCAGGGAAGUGGGGUGUCCCGCCAGGGCACAGACACAGGUCCUAGGGUGGGGGUCAGGCCUCUUGGCUUCCUCCACAGUCCCCCAUGCUGCCUGGGCCAAUUUCAGGGCCAAGACCCCUCCUCGCAGCACCGGGGCCCCUGCCCAAAUCAACCCCAGGCCAGAGUUUCAGGGAGAUGGGUUACAAAACCAUCAAAUGCGUGUGUAUGUGUUUGUGUGUGUGUGUGUGUGUGUGUAAGCAAAUGCUUGUGCCUGGGUCUGAGACCCAAGUUCCAAAACAAAGAUACUUUGUAUUGGAAUGCGACAGCCAUUCCCACGUACAAAGCAAGAAUAGAACCUGUGCUUGCUGGUCUGAGAUCAAACCUCAGAAUGGUGGUUUGACAUUUGUCUUCAAAAGAAAAGUUGGGAGAAAGCGGGGGAAGAUGCUCCCCCUUGAACGGGCCUCCCUUUGAUGCCGCUGUGCUGUGAGCCUGCAGGGGAGCAGUAGAGGUGGGACCCUGCCCCACAGCUAGAACAUCUCAGUCCUGGAGGAAGGACAGAAGUGAUGGAGCUGCCUGGGCCAGGACAGCAGAAUACCAGGCCCACGGCAGGCUUAGGCAUGAGGGUGGAGGGAGUCGGUUUUGGUCCUUGUUGACUUUAAAAACAUCAGACUAGUCCUGUGUGUGUGAGACUCUGAGAGUUCAUGCGUUGCGCCUGGAUGGGUGGAGAACAGGCAGCCCUCAGUGGCAAGCAGGAGGGAAGCUGCCUUUGGGGACCGCUGAUGCCACUGGGGACAGGUCACCUGGGGCUCAGCUCUCAGAGGAAGAGGCUGGGUUUCCCCUGGGCCCAAAGCUCUCCCAAGUGUCACCAAGAAGUGACUGGCAGCUCUGGUUGAAGGGGCUUCGACUUUGAAGGGACAGGCAGGCCAUUUCUGUUCCACCUCACCCUUGGGGUUCUCCAAUGGGGACGUGGGGGGUUUGGUCCCCCUGGGCGGGCACCGGAGGCUCUUUCUAACCUGGGAUCAGAGCCUCGGCUUCCUGGCCUCUGAUGCAAAGAUAUACCCCACCACUGGCACUAUUCCUCCUUGUCCCUCUGUCUUGGUAGCUGGGGCCACUGCCUGGUGGCACGGGGUUCCUGACUAAUAUCAGAAUUUCCCUUUCAGCUGGGACACCAAAGCCACACUGGCCACCGCUCAUCCUGACUGACCUCUGCCUAAGUGAGAAGGGAGGAAGGGACAAAGCCAGAUGCGAGGAGGACUCAGCCCACAGCGGACUUCCUGUGUGACCCUGGGCUACAUGCCCACGGUGGCAGGGCCAUGACCUGUGCAGCCGUUUGCAGCUUCCAGGGCUGACAUUCUCAUCUCCACGGACUUUCACUCUCUUUGGUCCUCACGGCUUCCUUAAGUCGGGCAGGAAAGCGAUUACUGUCCCAUUUCACAGUUAGAGAAACUGAGCCCCCAAGGUUGAAUGAGUUGCUCAAGGUCACUCAGCUGGGUGGUGGCAGCCAGGACGGAGCGGACGUGGGCUUCCAGGGACGUGUGCUCUUCACUGUACCUUGUGGGGCCAGCAUGUCCACAACUCCCCCAGCUGAACCAAGACCCCAGGCGAGCUCACCCUCACCGGUUUGGUCUCUGAGGCCGAGGAGGCCCGUGGAGUCCAGCCAAAGCAUUCAGUCCUUAUCUUCAUGGAAACCGAACUCUUCUCUUGGUUGGAAGGCUGAGGAAGUCCAGCUGGCCCUCGGCCUGUAGACUUUCACCCCAGGCCACGCUCCUUAUUCCCGCCCCGACUGCUAUCCACAUGCCACCCAUGGGGCCCACUACAAAGUCCCAGUGUGGAGCUGUGUGGUCAGCACAGGCCCCAAAUGUGUGGACAGAGAAGCCAGAACUGUGCCGGUGCCUGGGGCCCAGUGGGGGGCAGGGGGGCGACCCCAGUUUCACUCCAAGGACUCACACGGGGAGGCUGACCCCGGGAGGAGAGGGCCACUGCAGGGCAGGACUCAGACGUGCUUGGGGGCCCCAGGGACAGCAGGGUCUUGAGCCAACCCGAAGCUUGGAAAGAUGAGCUGGCCUUUUCUCGCAGGAAGACGCCUGAGUGUCCCAACAGGCUGUAGCACAUGGCUGAGCUGGAGGGCACCCGUCCCAGGGGCAAGGGGGGCUGAACUCCAGCCUGUGACCACUUGAAGGGGCUAUGCAUUCCAAGGUGGGUUGAAUCCACCUGGAAGGGGCACCGUUUCUAAUUCACACCAAGGCGCGACAUGGACCAGCAAGCAACCGUGGAGCCCUGAAUGCAGUGGCUCCCCCGCCCCCCGCCUUCAAACCAUUAUUUUCUCUGUAACUUUCCCUUGUUCAUGAGCUUCCUGACAACAGGGGCUGCGACUGACCCAACUCUAUGUCUCCAGGGCUCAGCACCAAGCAGAGAUGUCAUCAACCAAGGAUGGUCAAGCCAGAUUCAAAUGAACUUGACCACUGCCCUUCUGCAGUCCUAGACUCAAAGAGUAAAUAAAACGCUCAAUGGAGUUCCCAUUGUGGUGCAGCGGAAAUGAAUCCGACUAGGAACCAUGAGGUUGCAGGUUCGAUCCCUGGCCUCGCUCAGUGGGUUGAGGAUCCGGUGUUGCCGUGAGCUGUGGUAUAGGUUCCAGACAUGGCUUGGAUCCUGCGUUGCUGUGGCUGUGGCGUAGGCCAGCAGCUAUAGCUCUGAUUAGACCCCUAGCCUGGGAACCUCCAUAUGCUGCGGGUGCGGCCCCAAAAAGAAAAAAGAAAAAAAUGCUCACUGGGCCCGUGGUGCAUCUUGCAGCUGGAGAAAUUUCAGCUCAGCGCUGGGAUAAACCCAAAAUGGUGAGUGUGAUUUUCGAGGUGGAAGGAGGGCUAGAAACCAGCCUGACAAAGCUUUUGGGUGACUGGGUUAGUGAUGAGGGAAGAGGUCCAUCUGUAGUCACCCCAAAUCCUAAUGGGUCUUAUACCAGCCCCCAAGGUUCCAGAAGAUAACCUUGGAGAACAUAUGCUGGCCAUGUGUUAUUCCCACACUUCAUCAACUCUGCAGCUGCCAGGGGCGGGGGGGCAAAUGGCCCCGCAAGCUCUGGGAGGGGCUGGAUUCAGCAGGGACCCCAAAACUGGCCGGAGGAUUGCGACUGCCCCGAGCUGACUUGGUUCUGACCUGGGGUAGGUGUCCCUAGGGUUGAGGGUUGAUGAGAUCCCUGAAGGCAAGGGCUAGGGCACUGUGCCAGGCAUGUGAACUGGGUAAUUUCACCAUGGAAAAUGGUCGCACAGUCCACCCCAGGAGGGGCUGGACCGAGAAGGGUCGAAAUUCCAAUUAUACAGUAAAAUUUUGCUGUCUCCCUUUUCACAAGUAUGGGACAGGGACUGAACAGAGCAAGAGAGCCCCUUGCUAAUCAAUAUAUCUGCUUGGGUAUAAGGUCAACUUCAGGCCAUCCAAAGGGAGUGGGAAGUACUGGGGGGCCCAUCACAAGCCCCCCUACCCCACCCCUGCAACGCCUCAGCAAAGACAAGCUCUGUCCUUCUGUAACACCCGGCCCCCAGGGCCAAGCAGCUCAUGCUAGCUACAGGGAAGCCCCCCACCCUGUGGCGGGGGCGGGACUCGAGAGGGGCCCUUCUCAGGCCUGGAGCAGGCGGAGGUGGGGGCGCUAGGCCCUCUCCACGGCCCUGCACCUCUGGGGCCAAUGAAUCCUCGCCGGUGGUAGACAGGACAGAGUCAAGGGCUCUGACUCCACCCACCAGACCAGAAGCUCCAAGGUUCACAAAUUCUUGGAG
Molecule: long non-coding RNA, 4758 nt
Filed under: Sus scrofa (pig)
Lineage: Eukaryota; Metazoa; Chordata; Mammalia; Artiodactyla; Suidae
Description: lncRNA (ENSSSCG00005009693.1)
Source: RNAcentral